This 32-nucleotide non-coding RNA is filed under the name Geobacter sulfurreducens KN400. Lineage: Bacteria; Pseudomonadati; Thermodesulfobacteriota; Desulfuromonadia; Geobacterales; Geobacteraceae. The record is from RNAcentral.
GCUGCGAGGAUGUCGUUCUGGAUCUCGGUCAG